This 465-nucleotide ribosomal RNA is filed under the name uncultured bacterium. RNAcentral describes it as "partial 16S ribosomal RNA". It matches the Rfam family "Bacterial small subunit ribosomal RNA", at positions 338 to 795 of the family's 1533-position model. The record is from RNAcentral.
CCUACGGGAGGCAGCAGUAGGGAAUCUUUCACAAUGGGCGAAAGCCUGAUGGAGCAACGCCGCGUGGGUGAAGAAGGUCUUCGGAUUGUAAAACCCUGUUGUUAGAGAAGAAAGUGCGUGAGAGUAACUGUUCACGUUUCGACGGUAUUUAACCAGAAAGCCACGGCUAACUACGUGCGAGUAGCCGCGGUAAUACGGAGGUGGUAAGCGUUAUCCGGAUUUAUUGGGCGUAAAGAGAACGCAGGCGGUCUUUUAAGUCUGAUGUGAAAGUCGUCGGCUUAACCGGAGUAGUGCAUUGGAGACUGGGAGACUUGAGUGCAGAAGAGGAGAGUGGAACUCCAUGUGUAGCGGUGAAAUGCGUAGAUAUAUGGAAGAACACCAGUGGCGAAGGCGGCUCUCUGGUCUGUAACUGACGCUGAGGUUCGAAAGCGUGGGUAGCAAACAGGAUUAGAUACCCUUGUAGUC